Molecule: ribosomal RNA, 130 nt
Filed under: Petromyzon marinus (sea lamprey)
Lineage: Eukaryota; Metazoa; Chordata; Hyperoartia; Petromyzontiformes; Petromyzontidae
Source: RNAcentral
CGGAUUGACCAAAGCACCCUGAAUGUGCCCGAUCUCGUCGGAUGUCAGAUGCUAAACGGGGUUGAGUCUGGUUAGUACUCUACGGUACUGGAAAUGGAGACUGCCUGGGAAUAGCAAGUGCUGGAUAAGC